This is a small nuclear RNA of Callorhinchus milii (elephant shark), 107 nucleotides long. The record is from Ensembl. NCBI's taxonomy places the organism in Eukaryota, Metazoa, Chordata, Chondrichthyes, Chimaeriformes, Callorhinchidae.
GUGCUCGCUUUGGCAGCACAUGUAUUACAAUUGGAAACAUACAGAUAAAAUUCCUAUGGCCCCUGCACAAAGCUGGCGUGCAGAUUUAUGAAAUGUUGCAUAUUGUG